UAACCAGUUCCGAAUAUAAGCUCUGAGGC
RNAcentral lists this non-coding RNA (29 nucleotides) under Bombyx mori (domestic silkworm). Lineage: Eukaryota; Metazoa; Arthropoda; Insecta; Lepidoptera; Bombycidae. The record is from RNAcentral.